GGGAUUGUGGCUCAGUGGUAGAGCACUCGUCUCUCAUGUGGGAGGCACUGGGUUCAAUCCUCAGCACCA
Ictidomys tridecemlineatus (thirteen-lined ground squirrel) is the source of this 69-nucleotide non-coding RNA. The record is from Rfam. Lineage: Eukaryota; Metazoa; Chordata; Mammalia; Rodentia; Sciuridae.